GGGGUUUUGCCAUGUUGACAAGGCUGGUCUCGAACUCCUGGGCUCAACCAAUCCAUCUGCCUUGGCUUCCCAAAAUGCUGAGAUUACAGGCAUGAGCUCCCAGUCAGGAAUCUUUUAAAAGUCUCCUGGAUUGUCUUGGAUGAGAAAAUAAAGAAAAAGAAGUCUUCCAGAGAACUCGAAAGCCUUUGAACAUGAUUCCCUUCCUUCGGAGGGGUGAGAGCAACUUUGUGGAGUUUCAGGCAAUAAGGAGAUUGCCCUGUCAGUUUACAGAAGGAAACGGAGGCGGAGAGAGAUGCAGCAGUUUGCCCAGGGUCUCAGAGAUGGGGUUU
Molecule: non-coding RNA, 329 nt
Organism: Macaca mulatta (Rhesus monkey)
Lineage: Eukaryota; Metazoa; Chordata; Mammalia; Primates; Cercopithecidae
Source: RefSeq, a predicted model, not a curated record